GUAAUUGAAAAAGGUAUAUCAACAUGUGAAUAAAUGCCAUGAUUAUCCAAGUGGGGACACUUGUAUAACCAUUUAGAAAUCAACUUAACAGAAUAUAUAUCUGAGCUAACAUGUUGAUAAUCAAAGCGUACAUAAUCUAUACAGGAAUAGAAUAAUUCUGAAACUCUCUUACUCAUGUCCAUCGCAUAAAGAAAAUGCAAAGGUAGGAUACUUGCCUGAUUUGCUGAUUACAA
RNAcentral lists this long non-coding RNA (233 nucleotides) under Panax ginseng (ginseng). RNAcentral describes it as "long non-coding RNA (PGIN_LNC000381)". The record is from RNAcentral. Lineage: Eukaryota; Viridiplantae; Streptophyta; Magnoliopsida; Apiales; Araliaceae.